RNAcentral lists this ribosomal RNA (243 nucleotides) under Staphylococcus aureus. Its description in RNAcentral is "partial 16S ribosomal RNA". It matches the Rfam family "Bacterial small subunit ribosomal RNA", at positions 1 to 233 of the family's 1533-position model. Lineage: Bacteria; Bacillati; Bacillota; Bacilli; Caryophanales; Staphylococcaceae. The record is from RNAcentral.
UUUAUGGAGAGUUUGAUCCUGGCUCAGGAUGAACGCUGGCGGCGUGCCUAAUACAUGCAAGUCGAGCGAACGGACGAGAAGCUUGCUUCUCUGAUGUUAGCGGCGGACGGGUGAGUAACACGUGGAUAACCUACCUAUAAGACUGGGAUAACUUCGGGAAACCGGAGCUAAUACCGGAUAAUAUUUUGAACCGCAUGGUUCAAAAGUGAAAGACGGUCUUGCUGUCACUUAUAGAUGGAUCCG